GUUCCUGGGGAAUGUGGGUCCAGGGAAGGCCAAAAUCGAGUGCAAAGGCCCCUGGCGAGAAUGUACUUGUUACCUUCAUGGAACAAGAAGGAAAGAAGCAUGCUUGAGUGGAGUGAUGGAGCCAGAGUGGUUGCCCAAGGAAGCUCGAUUACACAGGGCCUUGUAGGCCACAGGCAGGACUGGGGCUUGUUUGUUUGUUUCUUUGUUUGUUUGUUUUGAGGCAGAGUAUCGCUCUGUUGCCCAAGGAAGCUCGAUUACACAGGGCCUUGUAGGCCACAGGCAGGACUGGGGCUUGUUUGUUUGUUUCUUUGUUUGUUUGUUUUGAGGCAGAGUCUCACUCUGUUGCCCAUGCUGGAGUGCAGUGGCACAAUCUCAGCUCACUGCAGCCUCUGCCUCCCGGGUUCAAGCAAUUUUCCUGCCUCAGCCUCCUGAGUAGCUGGGAUUACAAGCAUGUACCACCACGCCUGUCUAAUUUUUAUAUUUUUAGUAGAGACGGGGUUUCACCAUGUUGACCAGGUUGCUCUUAAACUUCUGACCUCAGGUGAUCCACCCGCCUCAGCCUCCCAAAGUGCUGGGAAUACAGGCGUGAGCCAUCCCGCC
Molecule: long non-coding RNA, 600 nt
Filed under: Homo sapiens (human)
Lineage: Eukaryota; Metazoa; Chordata; Mammalia; Primates; Hominidae
Description: LHRI_LNC360.1
Source: RNAcentral